AUGAUGGGUUUAUGGUUUAGAACUGUUUCACUUAUAUUGUAAUGAAUUUUUUUAAUAGGUGAAAAUACCUAUAGAAAAAUAUUAGACGAGAAGACCCUUAGAGUUUUAAUAAAGAUUUUAUAAGAUAAAAUGAUGUUUUUGUUGGGGCGACAUUUUAUUAAAUCUGGAUAGGUAUAACAUAAAUUAAACAUACUAUUCAUAUAACUUUAUGUUUGUUAAAAAGAAUAUAACUACCUGAGGGAUAACAGCAUAAU
Molecule: ribosomal RNA, 254 nt
Filed under: Geomalacus maculosus
Lineage: Eukaryota; Metazoa; Mollusca; Gastropoda; Stylommatophora; Arionidae
Description: partial 16S ribosomal RNA
Source: RNAcentral